CACGCCGUAAACGAUGUCGACUAGCCGUUGGGCUCCUUGAGAGCUUAGUGGCGCAGCUAACGCAUUAAGUCGACCGCCUGGGGAGUACGGCCGCAAGGUUAAAACUCAAAUGAAUUGACGGGGGCCCGCACAAGCGGUGGAGCAUGUGGUUUAAUUCGAAGCAACGCGAAGAACCUUACCAGGCCUUGACAUGCAGAGAACUUUCCAGAGAUGGAUUGGUGCCUUCGGGAACUCUGACACAGGUGC
RNAcentral lists this ribosomal RNA (246 nucleotides) under uncultured Pseudomonadaceae bacterium. RNAcentral describes it as "partial 16S ribosomal RNA". It matches the Rfam family "Bacterial small subunit ribosomal RNA", at positions 796 to 1041 of the family's 1533-position model. The record is from RNAcentral. Lineage: Bacteria; Pseudomonadati; Pseudomonadota; Gammaproteobacteria; Pseudomonadales; Pseudomonadaceae.